This is a long non-coding RNA of Orcinus orca (killer whale), 12973 nucleotides long. RefSeq lists it as uncharacterized. Lineage: Eukaryota; Metazoa; Chordata; Mammalia; Artiodactyla; Delphinidae. The record is from RefSeq and is a predicted model, not a curated record. The transcript is spliced from 3 exons.
AAAAACUAUUUCAGGGCUUCCCUGGUGGCGCAGUGGUUGAGAGUCCGCCUGCCGAUGCAGGGGACACGGGUUCGUGCCCCGGUCCGGGAAGAUCCCACAUGCCACGGAGUGGCUAGACCCGUGAGCCAUGGCCGCUGAGCCUGCAUGUCCGGAGCCUGUGCUCCGCACCGGGAGAGGCCACAACAGUGAGAGGCCCGCGUACCGCAAAAAAAAAAAAAACAAACAAAAAAAACUUUUUCAAAGAUAAAUUCCAAUCCACUAAAAGAUUAAUUAAAAUAACUCAGGAAGGAGAAAGUUGGGAUAUAAAAUAAAACUGACAUUGAAUUGAAAUCAUGUAAACAUAAAUUUAAGUGUAUAAUUAUAAAUUUGGUUACAAAUCAGAAUUCAAAUGUCAUAAAUCUUGAAAGAAAAGAUAUGUAAUGAAAAGAAAAAACCCCAUUAAUUCAGUAAAAAUGGCAGCAAUAAUAAAGACGAAUCCAAGUAACUCUAACAUAAGCCAAGAAGUAGGCGAUGGGGGAGACAGGAAGGUUGGGAGAAAGUUAAAGUUCUGCCUUGUCUUGCAAAGGGGGAUAUCAACAGUUUUAUUUCUGAUCUUGAAAAAUAGAAAAAUACUGUUAGCGGUGUGGUUUUUUUAUUUUUUUGCAGUUCGCGGGCCUCUCACUGUUGUGGCCUCUCCCGUUGCGGAGCACAGGCUCCGGACAUGCAGGCUCAGUGGCCAGCAUGGCUCAUGGGCCCAGCCGCUCCGCGGCAUGUGGGAUCUUCCUGGACCGGGGCACAAAUCCGUGUUCCCUGCAUCGGCAGGUGGACUCUCAACCACUGCACCACCAGUGAAGCCCUAGCGGUGUGGUUUUUGAAAAAAUAAAGGUAACCACUAGAAAUCUAAAGUAAGAUAUAUACAUUCCACAUCACUAGAGGGAGAAAAACAUAGGUCAGUUUGAUCAUGGGAUAAGGUCACAUCGGGUCAAAGGACCAUGGUCCGGUUUCAUUUUUGUCAUUGACUUUUUGAAUUUAUUUAGAGGAGCAUUACCUGCUUCUUUUUGGCCCACAUUUGGGAAAAUUUUUUAAAAGGAGGGGGUUGGUGGGAGAUUUGUCCAUUGUGUGAAAUGUAUUCUUUUAGAAAUUUAGAUCAUCCGUGACUCAUCCCCAUGAUGUUUCGAGAUAUUUUUGGACAGAUCUUUAGGAAGGUCUUGGAGGCAGAGGGCUUGAGGAAGGGGUGGUGUGGCUGGAGGUGAAGUGAGGAGGGUGUGGCGUGGCAAAUGCAAUUGAAAUGCAUUUUAAAAUUGCCAUUAAGUUGUGUUGAGUUAGAUAAUUUAAUUGUGACUUGUAGAUGAGUAGGUUUGGAAUUUUGUCUCCCCGAAACCAUGUUUCUUCAGGCUGUUUUGUCGCUUAGGUGGCAGUUUUGUAUGCUAUUGUAUCUGUAGAAUCCGGCACUACCAGACUUAAUCAGGACAAGGUGCACCAGAUACAGUGUGAUUUCACUGGGCUGCAUCAAACAUGCAAGUUCAACACAGACUUACUUGCUAGUUCUGGACCACAGGUUUAGAACCUAUACACAUAGGAAUUCUCAUAAAUUCUAUUUUUCACAAUAAACACCAAAGAAGAAAAAAAUAGGAUGUAUUUAUAUUAUUGCAUGUGGUAAUCAUCAAGUAUAUUCCUAACAGGAGAGCAUUUCCAUUUUGAUGAAACUUCAGUGUUAGAGUCAAAUCUUCUAUUUAAAAAUGUACAUACCCAGUGAUGGGAACCAUUUUCCACAGACUACCUUCUGACCCCAUACCGUUCAAACCUCAUUUCUCCUCCACUACCCUCACCACCCUUCUGUUGUUGGGCACUGAGAGACCUGUUCACGGUAAAAUACCCCGUCUGCCCGUCCACUGUUGAUGGUUUCAUCAGGUAAGUCGGUGCAGGGCAGGAAGAGCAUUCCUCGAGUCAUUGGUCUAUUAUGCCUCUUUCCUGUAAGGUGAUCCGCAGAAGUGACCAAAAGCCGCAUGAAUAUAUCCCGCUGAACCCGAACUAAAUGUAUCCUCAACUCAGCCUCCCCUUUAAAAAAAAAAACUUUAUUGAAGUACAGUUGAUUUACAAUGUUGUGUUAAUUUCUGCUGUACAGCAAAGUGAUUCAGUUACACAUAUAUAUACAUUUUAUAUACACACACACAUACAUACACACACACAUUCUUUUUCAUCUUCUUUUCCAUUCUGGUUUAUCACAGGAUAUUGACCAUAGUUCCCUGUGCUCUACAGCAGGACCUUGUCAUUUAUCCAUCCUGUAUAUAGUAGUUUGCAUUUGCUAAUCCCAUAGCCUCCCCUUACGGAUCCCCAAUUUGUGCAAAUUUAUCUGAGAGAUAAAUUUUCAGACUGGGAUUCCAGAUCCAAAAGGAAAAUGGAUUUGAGAUGUUGGUGGACGUUACCAGACUUCCCUCCACACCCAUUUACUGUUCCUAACUCCCACCGGCAACGUGGGAUGGUGCAUAAUCCCCACAGCCUCCACAGCAGAGAAUGCUGGCCAACUUGGGCAUUUUGACAGCCUGAUGGGUCAGAAAUGGAAUCUUAGUUUUCAUUUGCUUUCCUCUCAUUAUGUGCCCAUUUAUCUUUCGGGUUAUUGGCCUUUUCCUUUUCAACUUCUAGAAGAUCAUUCUUUCUUAGGGGGAUUCAUUCCCAUGAAUUGCAAAUGUUAUCUCCCAAUUUGCCAUUUCUCUUUUGACUUCGCUUUUAUGACUUUCUGUUUGCUUUUUAUUUGCUUGUUUUGUUGCCAUAAAGAAAAUCUUAUUUAUUUUUUUAAUACAAUAGCUUCUUUUUUUAAAAAAUAGUUUUUUAAAAAAUUUAUUUUAUUUAUUGAUUUUUGGCUGCGUUGGGUCUUUGUUGCUGUGCUCAGGCUUUCUCUAGUUGCGGCAAGUGGGGGCUACUCUUCGUUGCGGUGUGCACAGGCUUCUCUUUGUGGUGGCUUCUCUUGUUGUGGAGCACGGGCUCUAGGGUGCAGGCUCAGUAGUUGUGGCGCACGGGCUUAGCUGCUCCGCGGCAUGUGGGAUCUUCCUGGACCAGGGCUCGAACCCGUGUCCCCUGCAUUGGCAGGCGGAUUCUUAACCACUGUGCCACCAGGGAAGCCCCAGCUUCUUUUUUUUAAAUAAAUUUAUUUACUGGUUUUUUUUGUCUGCGUUGGGUCUUCAUUGCAGUGUGCAGGCUUCUCAUUGUGGUGGCUUCUCUUGUUGUGGAGCAUGGGCUCUAGGCACGCAGGCUUCAGUAGUUGUGGCACAUGGGCUCAGUAGUUGUGGGCUUGUGGGCUCUAGAGCUCAGACCCAGUAGUUGUGGCACACGGGCUUAGUUGCUCCGCGGCAUGCGGGAUCUUCCCGGACCAGGGCUCGAACCCAUGUCCCCUGCAUUGGCAGGCGGAUUCUUGACCACUGCACCACCAGGGGAGUCUCAAAUCUUACUUUUUUAAUGUAGCCAAAUGUAUUUUUUUUUCUUGUGCAGCAUCUAAAUUUUGAGUUAUACUUAGAAACGACUUCCCCAUUCCAGGAUUAUAAAAGAAUGUUGUCUGUUUUAGUUUAUAGUUUCCCUUGCUGCAUGUAAAUCUUUGAACUACUUGGCAUUGAUUUUGGUGUAUGGUGUGAGGUAUACAUACAGCUUUAUCUUUUUUUCCCAAAAGACUAUUUUGUCCCAACACCAUUUAUUAAAAAGUUCAUCUUUAUCUUUCCACCUUGUCAUACACUAAAUUUCCAUCUGAUUUGAGUCUUUCUGGACUUACUAUUCUGUUCCAUUGGUCUAUUAUGUCAGUACUACACGAUUUUCCUUCUUCAUAUAGGCCAUGGUGUUUUAAUAUUAUUUAGGGUUAGGUUCCUCGCCCCUUCUCACUUUUCUUCCUUUUCAGAGUUUUCCUGGCCCUUUUUGUUUGCUUGUUUUUCCUUGUGAUCUUUAUUUAUUUAUUUAAAAUUAAUUUAAUUUUGUUUUUGGCUGCAUUGGGUCUUCGUUACUGCAUGCGGGCUUUCUCUAGUUGUGGUGAGUGGCGGGGGCUACUUUUCGUUGCGGUGCACGGGCUUCUCAUUGCUGUGGCUUCUCUUGUUGCAGUGCGCGGGCUCAGUAGUUGUGGCAUGCAGGCUUCAGUAGUUGUGGCUCGUGGGCUCUAGAGCACAGGCUCAGUAGUUGUGGCGCAUGGACUUAUUAGUUGCUGCGCGGCAUGUGGGAUCUUCCCGGGCCAGGGCUCAAACCCGUGUCCCCUGUAUUGGCAGGUGGAUUCUUAACUGCUGUGCCACCAGGGAAGCCCCCUCAUGAUCUUUAUAAUCCGCCUGUCUACAACAGAGAAUAAACAGCCGCCACUUUGAGAUGGCAUUAGAUUUAUAGAUGACCUUGGGGGGUAUGACAUCUUUCUGAUGUUGCAUCUUUAUAUCCAAGAACAUGGUGUGUCUUCUCGCUCAAGUCUGUUAGGUCAUUCAGGAAUGUGUUCAAGUUUUCCUUCUACUUACGUAAGUUUUAUACAUUAAUUAAAUUUAUUUCCCGAUACUUGAUGUUUUAUUGCUGUUGUAAUUGAGGUGUUCUUUCCAUUUUAUUUCCAUUUUAUUAUCUAACUAGUUAUUGUUUGGAUUUAUGAAAGCUGUUGAUUUCUGUAUAUUUUGUAUCUCACUAGCUUACCAAAUUACUGGUUUUAGAAAUGUAGCUUGUUGGUUGGUUCUCUUGGAUUCUCUACUUACACAGUCAUUUCUUUGGCAAGUGAUAAUUUUAUCUCCUCCUUUUUAGUUUUUAUUCUUCUGAUUUUAGUCUCUUGGCCUUUUGCAUUGGCCCUGAGUUCUGUUUUGAAAAAUGUUCAUUUUGAGCCACUAGUGAGCCCUCCAUAUGGAGGCAUAAGUUUGAAGCUUAAGAGAGAGUUACUAGGGCUGGGAAUCACAUUUGCAAGUCAUUAACUGAAGAUGGUAGUUCAAACACUGGGACCCUGUGUGUUUGCCAAAGGCGAAAGUGCAGUGGGGAAAGGGGACAGAGCUGGAGACAACAGUGGCAACAUGCGGGCGGUGAUGGCCAGAAACCACAGAGAGCAGAAAGGAAGGGCUGGCUUUCUUUUUUUCGCCCCCCCCCCCCUUAAAUAGACUUUAUUUCUAGAGGAGUUUUAGGUUCACAGCAAAGUUGAGCAGAAAUUUCAGAGGUUUUCCAUGUACCUGCUGCCCUACCCCCACCCCGCCUUCCUGUGGGCAGCCCCCAGGGAGUGGUACACCUGUUACGGAGAUGCCCCUACCAAGAGCUGUCAGUAUCACCCAGAGUCCCCAGUUUAUGUUAGGGCUCACUCUGGGUGUUGGGCAUUCUGUGGUUUGGACGAAUGUGUAAGGAUGUGUAUGCAUCAGAGUAUCAUACAGAACAGUUUCACAAAAGGCUAAGUUUGCUUUUGCUCACUCCACAUGCGCACCCAUACUGUAGGUUAUUUGCAUUGUGCCGUGGUUUGUAUUUCUGUACUAAUCAUACCACUUUCUUUAGUCUUUAUUGAACUUCAUCUUGUUUGUUAGCAGUCAUUUCUUUAAUCUUUCAAUAUCUUUUCCUCAUUCCUUUUAUUCUAUUUAGAAGAGAAGUAAAGAAGUUCCUUUAGUGGAAAUUGUUCAAACACUUACCUGCAGGGAGGAAUUGUGCUUGAAUGGGAGCCUGAGGGUUGUUCCUUUGGGUGACAGAUGAAGCAAUUAAAUAGAUAUCAAGAUUCACAGUGUUUUUUCUGAUUUUCAUGGACCGGAACUUAAAAAGCAAUUCUUAAAAAAAAAAAAAAACACUGGCUCUUAAAAUAUUAAUAGUUCAUUCUUCUGUUUGGAACAAGUUCUGUAGUCAUUUUCCUAGGUUUGAAUGAUAACCAACCGCAGAGGAUACUUGAUAGAGUAGGAAGGUUGUCUAAGAUGUUGAAAAUGUAUUUUCUCCUAUUAGAAUAUUUGAAUGAGUGAGAACCUUGGUUCUUUGCCCAUAGCUGACCCUGUACUCAUUGCUCAGCAUCUCAGCCAAGUUGAUGUGUGAGCCCGCUUUCUAGCAAUACAGGAUGAAUACAUCCAUGUGUGCAGCGACGUCUUAUGUUCUCUCUCGGGUUUGUUACUCUUGCCGUCCCUGGAAGUAGGCUGAGACUUUUUGUAGACGAAAUAAAGAUAAACUUAUAAGUAGCCAGAUUCCUGUGUACUGCUUAGACACAUAAGUGGAACUUUCUAAUUGGUAUAAACUCCUGUCGGAAUCAAAGUUAUGUUUUUUUAAAUAGAAAUUGGAGAACCAGGUAGGUGAGAGGUGGGUGCUGCUUCUUAGUAACUGAUUUCAUCAGUGUGGUGAUUUGUUGUCUGAGCCUUUAUGGGUGGAGAUGGGUGCCGUCCUCUGAAAAGCAGAAUCCCGGGGUUCUGUGGCACCUGCGCCUCCCGUCCCUAACAGGCCACCCUGUCCCAGGCUAAACUCACGUGAAUUGAGACAGUGCGUGUCUGCCCAAGGGUGUUGGCUGCCGAGUGGUGGCCACUGAUCAGCUCCUGCCCUGCAGCCAGCUCCUUUGAUCUGCAGUAUUCUGAGCUGCUUCUCAACAAGGGUACCUCCGCUUAGAUACGAGCCUUCUCUUCUCUGAGCAGUGGAGUGAGGAAAUAGGCACACCACCCCCACCCCCACCCCCACCCCCACCCCCGCCAAGAAAAAGUCAGAAGCCGAUCCAGGCCUGUUGACUAUUGACGUUGAGGCAAUUGUUUUAUUGAUUUAGCUGUCUUUCAUAUGAAGAGUUGUAGCUUUAUUCAUUUGUAUGAAAGAGAAGCAGGCCUUCUGUUCUAGAACAUUAAUUGGGAAAUCUGGGGGCUUCCCUGGUGGUGCAGUGGUUAAGAAUCCGCCUGCCAAGGCAGGGGACACGAGUUCGAGCCCUGGUCCGGGAAGAUCCCACAUGCCGCGGAGCAGCCAAGCCUGUGCUUCACAACUCCUGAGCCUGCGCUCUAGACCCGUGAGCCACAACUACUGAGCCCUCGUGCCACAACUACUGAAGCCUGUGUGCCUAGAGCCCAUGCUCCGCAGCAAGAGAAGCCACUGCGAUGAGAAGCCUGCGCACCACAACGAAGAGUAGCCCCUGCUCACUGCCGCUAGAGAAAGCCCGCGCGCAGCAACGAAGACCCAACACAGCCAAAAAUAAAUAAAAUAAAUUGUAAAAAAAUUUUUUUAAAAAUUGGGAAAUCUGGAAGUUUCAAUAAUCUCUUUGAAACAGUGUGUAGCAGGUGGGUAUAAGUACACUUCUGGAGACUGGGGGCGGAAAGUUAAUCAUAAGAAAUGAUUAUUGGCUGUUAAUACGUUCUGCAGGGUUUCUAAACCCCUUCUGUGUCUACGUGGUGCAGUUUGCUCAGAUUGCAAAGUUGUCUUCCUGCUUGAGGCUGUAAUCCUGGAGUCGUUAGUUACAGAGAGAACCCAGGUGGCCUGGGAGGGGUGUUCAUGUGUGGUUUCCUCGACUGGCGGGGUUGGUCUCAAUUUUAAGUGGCAGCCAAUCCUGUCUAUACAGACAUUCCAGAUUUCUUUAAACAGUGGUGGAUUUGUGUCUACUGACUUGUACUGAUUUUCCUUAAAUAUUUUUAAAAAUUAAUUAACUUUCUAAUAAUGGGAGGCCCUGCUCUUUUGGUGGAGUCGAGUUGUGGAGAAGAGAACAGGGAUCCCCGAACUUGAAUGGGGCUUCUCUGCCUGGCGGCUUCACAGUGUGCUCGACUUCAUAGGUGAGGAACCUGUGGAAGUUGGUAGCGGGACCCUGCCAGCUGUUGCGUGGUGUCCAGUUUUCGUUGGGAAUAAUAUGUGUUAGGUGAGCAUCGUGUAUGAGGAGGAGCCUGGCGGGGGGAGGUUGUGGGGGGACGCGGAGUCCAGGACCAGAGCUGGUGGCAUCGCGGGCCACGCCGCGGAGGGCCUUAGGGAGGAGCAGUUCUGGUCGCAGGGACCAGGGUGGACCUCGUGGAACGAGCGGUGACUGAGCCCGGGAGGACCAGCAGGCGGUCCACGGCUGGGGUGGGCCCUCCUGCAAGGAGGACAGGCAUGCACACGAUGGCGGGGAAGCGCAGUGUGCUCCGGGCAGCGAGCCGAGGCUACGGGCCGGGCGGGAGGAGAGGCUGGAAGCAUCUCUGAGGACCAGAGAAGAGGCACUUACAUGGCGCGAGGGAGGCUCUGGUUCCCGUGCCGAGUAGGUGGGGAAGAACCGUCCAUGACUGAACGACCUUCUCCACCAGCUUGGUCCAUGCCCCUUAUCUUUCCAACAAAUCACUCCAGCCCUCUCGUUACUGAGGGCUAGGAAGUCCACCGUCUCCUUCAGGAUGACCCUUCUUGACCUAGGACUUGUCCUGCAGACCUCCGGGGAUUCCUUGGUCGGGCCGUGAGCCCGGAGAGCUGGGGGAGUCGCAGCUCUUUUUUCUGGCGCUGAAUACGCAGCUGCUCCUCCCCGAGCACAGCUGCUUGGCGGGGUCGCUGGGUCCCCAGGGGCUUCUAUCUUAAGUACAAGUUGUGCUGAAACCAGCACCCUCCUUGAGCAUCCGGGCCUUGGUUUUGAGCCCGAGUCACCCUUUCUUGGUGUCCUCGCUUGCCGGCUGACCUGGGAUGCCCAGUGUGUCAGGCUGCCUGGGAACUUCUCUAACAGGAGGGAACGAGGGCAUCUCUCCUUUGCUUCCAAGAGGCUCCUUGGCCCAGAUGCAGAUUGGACCAGUGGAGUUUGAAUUACUGCAAAGGAAACCUUGGUCAGGACCCGGAAGGUGCUUUUAUUCUUUUUCCAGGGCAGUGGGUGCCUAUACUCAUCUGAUAAUUGCAUCCUCGGGAGGGCUGACUCACAGACCUCUCCUGUUGACAGAGCAGCUCUGCAGCGGCUCCAGAACACGGGAAGGUGGGCCCCACCAGGCUCCUGCAGCACGUGGUCAAAGUUACUGAGUACAGCUCUGCCGAGGGACACAGGUGGCUGCCUGACAAGUAUAACAGAGGCGAGGAUGGGAUGUGUCCUUGAAGGAGCAGAGGCAGAGCUGGCCUGCUGGCCUCUGGGCGUCCAGUUCAGUGGAGACUCCGUCCUGAACGUGAAGAUGCAUGCAGCAGGCGCUAGCAGUGGGCUCGGGUGUUCGUGCGGUGUCCCUGUGGAGGCAUGGGGGCAUCUGGUCAGGAUACUGCUGCCCUUAAACAGCCUCCCUUCUGGUUGGAUUGCUUGGGCACACAGCAGUUUUCCAUUUCCUCCCCACUUUGGGAAUGAUGUGGCGAUCGUUUUAAUUUCUAGUAUCUCUGUCCCCUGGGAUAGGUUCCUAUUUAUCUCCGAAGUGAUCAGUCAGCAUUGAAAGCAAUGCAGUUGUAUUUCUUACUGCACAUGGAUAAUUGGACAUGCUGAUUUGAAACAUAAAUUUCCAAAGUGUGACUAAUGUAAUUGAGGACCUGAGCAAUGGGUCCACUCCUGGCAGGUAAUAAACAAAUCCGGCUUCUGGGCCUGCAGAGGCCCUCCGUGGUGAGCAUCUCUGGGUGAGGCUCCUCAGGAGAGGUGCUGGCCCUGCCUCCCUGCAAGACGCUGUCGCGCUGUCACAUGAGCCGUGAGCAAGUUUCUCACUUACUGCAGAGCCCUUGGAUCCCUGCUCAGACGGGGCCCCUUGCCUGGAACACACUUACCCUUGACCCUGCUCUUCAUCUGGUUCCAUCCUACUCAGCCUCCGGGUCACCUCCUCACCCUGCCCUAACCCUCAAUCUGAAGUUCCUAUUGUUCUCUCUUUUCCCUCUUAGAACUUACUGUUAUUAUUAUUGUGAUGAUGAUGAUGGUGAUGGUGAUGAUGAUGUGCGUGUGUGGGGUGGGUUAUGCUGCCUUGCCUUACGGGACAGAAAGCAGAAGCCGGGCGGAGGCCCUGUGGUCUUGUUCACGUGCGUGGCCCUGCUGCAGGCACAGUCCCUGCUCCAGGCAGGCGUGGAGUAGUAUUUGCUAAAUGAAUGAAAGCCCUGGGUGUGGUGGGUACAGUUGGGAGGGAAAAGGCCUAGAGAGGACCCCAAGGGGUGAGGGGAAACCCUGCUGAAGGUUGUGAGAGCAGCUGUCUGUGAACCGUGGCGUGCCUCGCGCGACCUGCUCAGCCGCGGGGUGAUGUCUUAUUUUAAGACGCAAAUAGCAUUAUCCAUUUUCUUUUUUCUGAUUGUGAAGGUACAAACUCCUAAAAAUUUUCAGAAAAUUACAAAGAGGAGAAUGAAAGUCAUCUAUAAUCCUGCCAUUUUCACCAUUUUGGUUUGUGUAACUUGACUUUUCUGUGAGUAUAUAUAUUUUUCAAAACACGAACACAAUUGUAUGUACUUAUGGUUUCCUACCCAGCUCUUCUUAUUUAAUUAUGUUGUAGACAUCCUUCCAUGUCAGCGAGAUCCACGUUGUCAUUGAUUGGCUGUGUGGUAUUGUCGUUGGAAUGCAAGCCUGUCUCCUGUUGUGAACACUUAGAUUACAUCGGGGUUUUUUCCCAUGUAAAUUGCACUGAGAUGAACAUUCUUCAGAUUGUAAUUUCAGUCCUCCAAGAGGGAACUUUGCUUGAGUCUGGUGGCUGAUAGAGUAGAAUGCAAAUUGGGAUUCCAAGUGUUUAUUUUUGACUGUUUCUGUCUCCUUGGGGUUUGCAUUAGUCAUUUGAUGCCCUCCACAGGAUCCAAAAAUCUCCCCAAAAGUUCCUCUUUCCCUGCCUAGUAGAAUGGGAAUAGACAGGUAGUUUUUAGCUUUAGGUGCCUGAGGCUCUACUUUAAGGAGGAGAAACUCCUUGUAAGUUUCUAGCUGAAGGAUGUUAACAGUUAUUAAUAGAAUCACAGUUAACAGCAGCAGCAGUACCUAAUGUUCAGUUGUUAAUUGUCCACCACGUGCCAGAGUGUUUGGAGUAGUAGCUCCUGGGUGGUUCUCACAGCAGUCCUUGAGAUUGGUGCUAUCAGCCCCAUUGUACAGAUGAGGAAACUGAGACCUAACCAGAUGAAAUAACUUGAACGAGGCUUGUGAGGAUGGAGUUGAGCUGUGGACCCCCCGGUCGCGUGUUCCUGGGGUCUGCCUUGGCGACCACGUGCCCUCCACUCUGUGUGCGUCUCAGGAAAAUGAGCGCACCUGGCGGUAGCGAGCUAGUUGCCUUAUAAGGUUUUUAAGAAGAGAAGCAGAAAUGUGUUAACAUUUGGGGGAAACGUAUUUAAAGUGAAGACGUGACUGCUUUUAUUUAUUUGGCUACAGAUUGUAGCGGUUGGGAGAGGUGAGUCGGUCGGGGGUCUGGUGCCCCGGCCGCCUUUAACGACUGCGUGUUUCCUCCUUGGAUCUCCCUCUUCACUUUCUUUGGCUCAGUCAAGUUUUACCUCCUGUUCCUCUGGUCUGUGCUGUUACUGGACAGCUGUUAAACAUCUGUUGCUCUCUGCUCUGAGGACGCGUGGUGGGUGUGUGUACACAGUGGCUCUGAUCCUGUUGGUGUCGGCGCCGGGAGCCUUCAGAACGAAGGGUCUCUCGUGGCCCUGUGCAGCGUCUUCUCUUCUCCUAGUCACCGCAGCCUUAGAAGCUGCCAGUUGCCAAUAAAGAUGUCUAACAAAAUUAAGAGACCUUUUCCCAUCACAGGAAUAAAGGAAAAGAAAAAGAUAAGACAAAGUGGAAGGAGGAAGUCUCCUACUAAAAAGGGAGAUUUUUAAAAAUCAUUCUUAAAAAUACGGUGCUCUCAAGUGUGAGGGAAUCCUCUUGCGGAUCUGGGCAGUGGGAGGGGUGUUGGAGUGGGAGGACGCGUCUCAGCGGGGGGAAACAGCCCAGAUUUGCCGAAGAUGAAAUGUAACGUUGAGCAGGGCUUGGACGCAGAUAAGAAGUUCUUUUGCCUCCUCGACUUGCUUUAAAACCGUUCAUUUUUUAUUUUUAAGGUCAUUUGGGGGGAGUCUCUUUGCUCCCAGCCUGGCUCUUUCAGUGUGGCCUGACCCCUGAGUCCUACCCUCCCACACAACUUGAGAACUUGAUUUCUUUGCUCACAAAGACUUCUUUCCAACCCCUCUCUUCCCCGCAAAAUACUCCGUAUUUGGUGCUGAGUAUUCUGCACAGAGCAUGGCUAGAGGGCCUGUUAAGUAUGUCCUUCUGUCCUGUGGACAUGGAAAAGUAUGAGCUUUAAAGCAAAUGUAUAUAAAAAGGAAAUGUUCUCUAAGCCAGGGACACACGGUUUUCCCUUUAUGAAAGUGCUGAGCGGUGUGGUCUAUUCAACAUGCCUCUUUGAAACCGGAAAGAAGGUGAUCAGUGGCGGUUUGAGAUAGUGAAAGGGAAUGGAGAAUCGAGAACAUGGCUCCUUAGACCGUUCUUCUGUGAGCCUUGGCUUACAGAGUUAAACACUUAAACAAGGAUGUAAAAUAAGGGUAAGCGUCACAUUUUCACAUUCACAUUCAUUGUUAAAUGUUUUUUUUUUUAAAUAGGAGACUCUGAGUCAGAGUGAGCCUGAGCAAUGGUCUGGUUGUUGAAAUUUACCCCACCUACCACAUUUCCAUGAUUAAAGAAACAGACCUGCAGCAAAUCAGAGGCUCUCAUUCUCCAAAGAGUUGAGUUUUUAAACGCUGGUUCAGCUGAGGUCCUGUAAGUUUGCUUGUUCACAUUCACGGUGGAAUUUUCUGCUGGAGGAAUCAUAAUAACAUUUUCAGGAACAUUUUCAAUAAAGUUUAUGAGAUGAGGUGGUCUUGGAAGAUACACAAAGAAUCUAACAGCCCAUUUGGGUGGAGAACUACAGAUUUGCUAAUUACUGAAAACUUAGUUGAUGUGAAUGCUUCUUCCCUUUGGGAGCCCCGUGAAUUGGAGGCAGCUGUCCGUGACGGCGGGGCCCCCGUGCCUUGGCCCGUCUUUGUUGGGAAGACUUCCAGGUCUGAUGAGCGUUACAGGUUUCUGCCAGAGAUCCUUUGCUGAGGUUGAGAAAUCUUCUAUUCUUAGUUUACUGCAUUUUUUUUUUUUUUAAUCACGAAGGGCUGUUGAAUUUUAGCAAAUGCUGUUUUUCCGUCUGAGACGGUCGUGUGUUUUUCAUUAGGAGCCUUUCUGUACUAUUCGACUUUUUUUUUUUUUUUUUCUAUUCGA